Molecule: long non-coding RNA, 3918 nt
Filed under: Sus scrofa (pig)
Lineage: Eukaryota; Metazoa; Chordata; Mammalia; Artiodactyla; Suidae
Description: lncRNA (ENSSSCG00000061162.1)
Source: RNAcentral
GUUCACCUGGAUGUGCUCGAUGACCAGAAAAUCCGCAUCUGAGCCCUUCAGUUCAGCAUCACUCUCUGCAUUUUUAAGCAUGUGCAGCAAAAUUCAGCACUCCUUUUGGGCUGCUGACCCUAUGUCCAGCCCAUGUUUAGCCUGGGCAUACCUGCCAGCUCCUUGAUUGUAACGAGGGAACCACACAACACACUACUUGUAUAAAGUGCAUUCAGAUACUCAGUGGCUUUCCGGAUAUGCAUACCCUUGAUGGCCUGGGGUUUCACGAGUGCUCUUAAAGUGAACUCGAAGACUUGGGGCAGGGAUUGAACCCGAGCCACAGCAGUAACAAUGCCAGAUCCUUAACUGCUAGGCCACUAGGGAACUCCCAAAUAUUUGCAAUAUUCUGUGAGAUUUUCUGCAUGAAGGGAACAGUGAACCAUUUUCAGAGAUGAAGCUAGAGGCUCUUGAGAGCAGUUCCAGGCUGGACAGCUUUUCCUUCUCCCAGUCAGCCUUGUGCAGGGCUGGGUGUGGUGACGGAUGGGGUCUCAAUCUCCUUGUCCUUGAAUCAGCCCACCAGCUUGGUGCUGCCUUGCACCCCAACCCCUCUACACUCGUCUUUCCUCCCUCCCUUCCUUCCUUCUUUAUUUCUUUUUAUGGCUGCACCUUCGGCAUAUGGAGGUUCCCAGGCUAGGGACUGAAUUGGAGCUGCAGCUGCCUGCCUAUACUGCAGCCAUAGCAAUGUGGGGUCUGAGCCGCAUCCGCGACCUACACCGCAGCUCAUGGCAAUGCCAGAUGCUUAACCCACUGAGUGAACCUGCAUCCCUCUAUGUUGGGUUCUUAACCCACUGAGCCACAGUGGGAAUUCCUAUGCUCUUCUUUUUAUAUCCUCUGAGCCUAUAUUUGCCCUGAGCAUGCUACUCACUGCCAUGUGAACUACUCUUGGACCUUCUUCUCCCCUCUGCCUCUUUCCCCCAAGCCAUCUCUGUUGCUUUGUUGUACAAACCACACUGACUAAUGGCUGCAUUCUUUGUCUCAGGCUCCUCCACUUGCUGGGCCAGGUGGUCCCUACAGCACCUCUGCUUCUAAACUUUCAUGGAGUGUAAGUCAGAGCCCCACACCUAGCUCCUUUCUUGGCUUCACCCCUUGUCCUCCUUGAACUUGCACUCCAAAACUUCACCCCAGUUUCUGCCCCUUGCUGGGGUUUCCCUGUGCCUUGGCUCCACCCUUCAGUCAUGAGCUGGCCCCCAACUCUCCAGCCUGGGCAGGUUCCCCUGUUCCCACAAGGACCCCCCUCCCCAGCUGGAGAGCCGUCAGCCUCCAGGUUGCACAACAGCAUGGCAUCUGAGCUGAGAGCCCCUGAGAAGCUCGGGGAAGGAGAGGGGGACAGAAGUGUUUGCUCCCACCACCCUCCUCACCCCAAACUGCCGCCUUAAAUAUUUGCUUAAGCCUCUAGCAGCAAGUGUCCUAGGAGGAGGAAGAUGAGGGAGGGGUGUCCAGGAAGAAGGGGGGGAAAAGCGUCCUCCUCUCAACUGUGUGCAGCCUUAGCUGUGUGCAGGUGCCAGAUGCAGGAGACAGCCUGCCUGCUGUGCCCACCCCUGCCUGGCCAGCCCUCCCCCCACCCCCCGUUGUCCUGGCAACACUGGGAUUGAUUGGCUGACUCACUCCUCCUGGACCUGAGCCAGGUGGGCAGCGGGCCAGUGGGAGAACCAAGGAGAAUGGCAAGCAUCUCAGGGGUCCCUGUGGCCAUCUGGGGGGUUCAGAGUCCAGCUGUGGGACUUGCUCUGAGCAGGUGCUCUGCCUAGGGCUUGCUGUCAUGGCUGGCCGCUGGGAAAGGAAUCUCUUUCUUGGAAAGAAGCCUCUGCUCUCAUGGGUCCUCAGUCUCCCCGGCAGGCUGCCCUUAGGCUGUAAUUCUUACAACUUUAUGUGUUUUCUUUCUUUCUUUUUUUAACUUGUUUUUGCCUAUUUGGAGAUUGGGGAAGGAAGGGUGCGCUCCAGUUUCCUAAGGGAAGUUCAGACGCUGGCACCGAUCUGGUAGAAGUCUGGGAAUUCUUGUCUUCCUUCUCAGGAAGGGGGGAGGGACAUUUAUUGGGGCAAGCCAGCUGUCACCUCACCCCCCACACCAGCCCUCUGCUGCAGGCUUUCCACUUUGGGGCCUUUACUUAGCCCCUUUCUCCUUCCUGGAAAGCACACCUUCAGUGCCUCUUCACCUCUCUGAAUACCACACACCCUAAAAGGCCAGGCAAGAGCCAUGACACUUCCCCUGUGCUCCUGGCCUCAGCCCACAGUGGCGCCUCCCUCCUCCAAGAUGGCCCAGCCUCCUUCUGCCCUUACCUGCCCCUUGGCCGGCACUGUGGUCCUCAUCAGCCACGGGGGUGGUUUUGGUUGCCUUUCUUCUCAAAGCCCUGGGACCAGGCCCGAGACCACACUUUCCAGAGGUUUCUUGCAGUGCAAGACACAUGCAUGCAGCCAACGUGUAACUCUAUUCAGUGGUAAUAAGACUGUCACCUAACAUCAGGGGGCUCCUGGUGAGGGGUCAGUGGUUUAUUCCUUCAGUGUGGGGAUGCCUCGGUGCUCUGGGACCCUGAAUGAGUCGACCUGCCUUCCUUCGCAUUAUGUGUUCAUCUGUGAAAUAGGACUAAUAUGGCCUGGCCUGUCCCCCUCUCCAAGCUGUAGUGAGGAUCCAGUGACACCACAAUGCGACAGUCCAGUCAUCCAGAUUGUCAUCAUGCACUUCACCCCCCAGGGCAUCUCUUCUCACCAGCUAAAAAUAGGACCCAUAUUCCCCCUUUCUGUCUGCAUCUGAGUUAAACCCUCUGAGGAGUUCCCAAUGUGGCUCACCGGGUUAAGAACCAGUAUUCAUGAGGGUUCCAUCCCUGGCCUCACUCAGUGGGUUUAAGGAUCCAGCAUUGCCAUGAGCUGCAGCAUAAGUCCCAGACACAGCUCGGAUCUGGCGUUGCUGUGGCUGUGGUGUAGGCUGGCGGCUGCAGCUCUGAUUCAACCCCUAGCCUGGGAACCUCCACAUGCCAUGGGUGUGGCCCUUAAAAGACAAACUAAUGAUAAUAAUAGCAAUAAAGCCCUCCUAGAAGUGUGGGUGGUGGAGAGCCCCAUGGCAGGCACUCCUCGGUGUGCAUCUCCUUACCCUCCUUCCAGCCCCUCAGCUGCAGGGAUGGACAAGAUUCACUCUGCCCUUUGUGUGCUGGGCAGAGCUGUGCCAGGGACGGGUGGGGAUGGUGGCCCAGCUGCCCCAGCCACCCUCCCCACCCCCACUGCUUAUCUUCCCACAAGCUGGCAUGGGGAGGGCAGCACGGGCAGCUGUACGGGCAGCGGCAAGUGAGCAGCAAAGGGCAGGGGCAUCCCUGGCUGAGAGAACAUGGACUUAAGCUCAGACUAGAGAAUCCCCUGCUGGCAGAAGCUGGGGACAGCUGGGGAAGCAAAAGCCCGAUCGGUUUCCUGGACUCAUGAAAAGAGCAUGACACUGGGUGCUCAGCCACCUGACUGCACCUGUGAGCUCUCAGGACAAUUGUCCCGCCUCCCCCUACACAGCCCUGGGAAGUAACACAGCACAGAGCAGCAAUUCUCAAACUUUUUGGACACCUCAACACUCUUAAAAAGUACUGAAGACCCCCAAAGAGCUUUGGUUUAUGUAGGUUAGAUCUGUCAAUAUUUACCAUAUUGAUAUUUACUGAGAAAUUUAAAAACAUGAAAUAGGGAGUUCCCACUGUGGUUCAGUGGGUUAUGGACCCAACUGGCAUCCAUGAGGAUGCAGGUUCAAUCCUUGGUCUUGCUUAGUGGAUUAAGGAUCCGGCAUUGCCAUGAGCUGUGGUACAGGUCGCAGAUGAAGCUCCAAUCUCACCUUGCUGUGGCUGUGGUGUAGGCUGACAGCUGUAGCUCCGAUUCGACCCCUAGCCUGGGAACUUACAUAUACUGCGGGUGCAG